This is a non-coding RNA of Chryseobacterium taiwanense, 68 nucleotides long. Lineage: Bacteria; Pseudomonadati; Bacteroidota; Flavobacteriia; Flavobacteriales; Weeksellaceae. The record is from Rfam.
AAUACAAAAGGAAAUGGUGUUCUUCCUUACCCAACCGCUUUACAAAAGCUGAUGACGCCUGAUUAAUA